Molecule: long non-coding RNA, 2190 nt
Organism: Calidris pugnax (ruff)
Lineage: Eukaryota; Metazoa; Chordata; Aves; Charadriiformes; Scolopacidae
Exons: 2
Source: RefSeq, a predicted model, not a curated record
CCCCCCCCCCCAGUAGUGCUUUUCUCGCUGUGCUGAACUGGAAUCCUAAGUGGCAACUCCUGCAAUUCAAUGCAUUUUUAUGCAUUUACUACCUAGGUGAGUACCCUGCGCUCAGGGCUUUCCCAUAGCAUUAAGUGAUCAAGAGCAUAAAGAGAGAACCAUGUCCUCAUUUGUUAUAUCUCAAGGCUGGGGUGUUGGAGCCAAGUGGGACGCACCAACAUUUCUGUCUUGCUGACAGCACUGUGCUGGCCUUUUGGGUGUCUUAUCAGCCAGGUCACAAGGAGGAAUGGAAAGUGGGGGGAACCCCACCCCAACAAAAUAAAAAAAAACUUGAAAAGCUUAACUCAGGUGCAUCAAACAUCCUAAAAGGUGAGAUUUGCUUUUAAAGAAGUUAAACAGCAUGGAAAGCAACAGCUUCCAUCAGUACUUUUUGCUGUUAAAGUGUCAUUUUCUUUCUUGGCAUCUGUGGAAGACGAGAACUAGCAGUGGGAAGGAGGCGUGCACAGAAAUGUCUGAGCAGGGGGAGAGGAAAGCCACAAGACAAGCUCAAGAGUAAAAAUUGUUUUCCUCCAUGUUUUAAUUUGACAAAAGAGGAUCCAUCUCAGGUUGGUCAUGGUGGGAUGGUUGGUAGCUGUGUUACAAAGGUGAGAUGUAGGUGGAUGUUUUCUGGGAAUGCCAUUUACCACUUAAAGCUUUGCUUCUGCUAAGUUUUAACUUAAGCUUUUGAAGUGCAGCAGGGUAACUGCUGUAGCAAACUAGGCAAGUUCAGCCUAUUAAAAGCAAACAAACGAAAAUAGUGAAUUUUUUUUUUAACUCGGAGUCUGGAAGCUUUACAUGCCAAACUGCUAAUUGGCAGGAGGGAGGAACUUGGUAAAAAAUACAGGAAGCAUCUAGUGUUUGAUUUUAGGCCUCUAAGUAGAGAAGAAUAAAAUACUUGUUAAAGCUUUUUAAGCUAUGCCGUAUGUAAAAGUGUGGGUCUUCUUGAUUGUUGAGUUCAGACUAAUUCUCCCUUUGAACCUGGUCUCACGUUUUGCAGCACGUGGGCAGGGCUGUAUGAACUAAACAACUACGGUUUCCUUCUUAAACCAACCCAACAAUCAAACCCCUGAAACUUAGUAAAAUUUUUUAUUUUCAGUGUUCUAGGAACAAUUUCAGUUCCUGGGCUCUGCAGGGGAGCAGCAGUGUUGGCACCUGCUGACAGGGCAGUGGUAGCAAGGUAAGAGGCAGAGAGGGUGGCAGUAGUUUAGCACCUCUCAGGAAGGUUGUCACUGCUAACCCCUCCUCGCCCCUGGGUAGGGGGUAUCAAAACCCUGUGCUAAAGCCCAGUGCAUUCCAGGCAGAUUCAGUUGUUCAGUUGUGGUUGAGUUGAGUGCCCUGAAGAUUUAAAGGAAAAAAAAAAAAAUCACAAGAAAUCCCUUUACAAAAUCUCUUUCUAGGUAAGCAAAGCUGGAGAAGACUGAUGCCGAGAGUGGCCCAGGAGCUUGGCUGCCAUGGGCUCUCGUGGGCUGAUGCCAGUGGAGAGCGCAAGGUUUGCUCGGAGCAGGUCUGUCAGGCGCAUUUUCACAAAGGCGAGGACAAACAAGUACGAAAGGGUCAGUUUCUUCAUUCUUACAGUGGGACCUCCACCAAGCAACCGCUUUGGUCUUUCAGGGUCCAGCUGCUCAUGAGGAACCUGGCCAGCAGAGGAAAGAUCCCUUUUCACAAGACAACCAAUAUUUGAUUUAAUGGGUUUUGGACGUUCCCCUUUAUUGCUCCCAGAGAGAAAUUCCAGAAAGCCUAAAUCAGUAAGUGCAUUCAGUCCUCUAGAGUAAAUCUUCAAUUUAAAAAUAUAAGUGUCGUAAUUCUAAAGAGGAACAGUACAGAAGAAAAUGUACCCAGUCUUAACUACUUAGAGGUAAUAAAUGGUUAUAUUAAAUGAUAGAGAAAUCAUUAUAUACAUCUUUUUCUAAUUCCUUGCAUUUUCUAGACAGCUUAUUAAAAUAUAGGAAAUGUAGAUUCAUCUGUACAAAAUUUGGAAUGUUUUUUCUAAGAUGAAGAACUUAUAGGAUCUGCUAAGAAUUCUUUUCUAAGAACUGGUUUUAAUGCUUUGACUUCUAGUGCAAGAGGGAUUUAGGGAAAUCGGAAGGUGAUACCUUUCACAGGAUAAAGGUCAGGAGCUGUUUUACUCUAGGACAAAAAAAAAAAAAAAAA